GGCGCUUUUCUAGACAGCCGGUUGGGAGCCGCGGUGCAGAGAACCCCGAGAAGGCGGCCUGCGGCGGCGGCCAGCUCUGCACUGCGGCCCGCCGUGCCUGCCCUCACCUCACCGCAGCCUGCUAGCUGCUUGCUCUAGACUGGUUCCCUGGGUGCCAAGGGCUCAGCAGUGCGAGUCCAGGAGAACAUGCUGGAGAAGAGCGUCCCGCAGUGAGCAAGAGUCUGCUCACUCUCAAAGUCCGCAGUGAGUGAGGAUGGCUCGAAUCAGUUUGGAGAAGCUGGGCACUUUGAUGCCGCAAGUUGUGAGAGCUACAAGACGGUGCUCAUUCACCUAUGAGGUCUUGCUGUGACUCGACUGUGUACUUCAAAAGUCCAUGCAUGGGAAAUUUAAUCCCAAAAUUUAUAUGUUAAUAGCAAUGGAGCAGAGGCCUCCAGGAAGUUGUCUUGGUUAUUUUCUCAUCACUGAGACAUGAUACCCAUCACUCACAACUCUAAGGCGGAAAGAUUUAUUUUGGCUCACAGUUUAUAGAGGUUUCUGUCUGUAGUCAGCUGGCUCCUAUGCAGGCUGACGUGGCAGAGGGCCUGGCAGAGGAGGACGGCUCAUGGCAUCACAGCGGGAAGCAAGAGAACCAUACAGGGAAGAGGAGGAGAUAUUCUUCCAGGCCACACCCUCAGUAACCCACCCCUCCUCCAGCAUCAUGCCUAGCUAUAAAGUCGCCAGUGCCCCUAAUCCAUGAUGCACAUCACACCCCCAUGACCGGGUCUCCUCCCAAAAGCCCCACCAUGAGGCUUUGGGUGUACAUCCAGGACAGACACCGUCCCACAAGCGAUAAGGAUUAAAUGAAUCCACAUGGAUGGAGGCCCCAGGAAGGCGCUGGUGGCUUUAUGCAAAGAGGAAAAGAGAUCCUAGCUGGCACUCUGGUUGGUCUUGCACUGUCGUGCCCCCGCCAUGUUGUGGUGCAGGACAAGGCCUUCGGAUGCCAAGUAGAUGCCAGCACCAUGCUGGCAGACUCCUAGCCUUCAGAACCAGGAGACAAUCAAGUACUGUUUCAUGGGCCAGGAUUGUAGCUCAGUGGCACAGAGCCUUCCUGACAAUUGUGAGUUCUUGAGUUUGAUUUCUGGUACCCCCUCCCACCAAAAAGACAAAUACUGUUCCUCAUCAAUUACCCAGCAUUAAGUGUUUUGUUAUAGCAACAGAAAUCAAACUAAGAUACACUGCAGAAUUGGUUGAUUUUUUCCCUUGGACAUUAUGGAUUCUCUGUAGAACUGCAAGAGGGUAUAUCACCUUAGAAGAUUCAGAAAACUUCAGAAAAACAGAGAAGCCAGGAGACACCCUGCUUCCUCCCAGCCUCCACAUCACACCUACUUUCAAGGGCCCAGGCCCAGCAUCUUCAAAAAAGAAGCUGUCAUAAUAUGUGACCUUAUUAAAAGGGAUUAGACUGCUGGGAGUGGGGGUGUACAUGCAUAAUCCCAGGACUCAGGAGACUGAGGCAAGGAGGAUCACGGUGUGUUCAAGGCGAGUCUGAACUGCAUAUAGAGACUCUGUCUCACUAAUAAUAGUAAUAAUAAUAAUAGAAUAAAAAUACUUGAGUCACAAGCAAAGAUUCCUGGUAUUUUACAACUGAUGAUCCAUUCUUUCCCAGGCGUUCUGCAAAGGUGAAGUUCUGAGACCCAGGCUUAAAGACUUGGGUAAAUAAAGCUGCCGACCCAGGGGAACAUCUACCUGCUUUGACUGUGCUAACAGCACAGCCCCAGUUGAUGCCUUUCAUGUCUGGGAGCCUCCACCAAGAAGAAAUGUCCUGAUUUCAAUUUAUUUUAUUUUUUAAACAAGAAGUUUAUUUAAGCAACAAGACACUUGACUUAAAGGGAAAACUAGGAAUCUGUUUUUUUAAAGAAUAAUUUGCCCUACAUCUAACAGCUAUGUACAAAAAAAGUUGCAAAAUUGUCCUUGGUUUUACAAUGAUAAGUGAAAAACAUUAAGAUUCCCCAAUCAAACAAGAUAUAUAAGGAUUUUUGUGUUGUUUUUUCUGUUAAAACAGUGGGAGCAAAAUAACUUCACUGGAAUAUAAAGAUAAGAGCUGAUGACCAUUCCACUAAUGGAGAAAGGGGAUUAUUUUCACAGAACCAGUAAUUCCUCACUUCAUCUCCAUUUAAUGUCAAUCAAAACACAUUAUUGGCCAUUUAGUAAAAUAAACUGCAAUAUGCUCAUGCA
This is a long non-coding RNA of Cavia porcellus (domestic guinea pig), 2211 nucleotides long. RefSeq lists it as uncharacterized. The record is from RefSeq and is a predicted model, not a curated record. The transcript has 2 exons. NCBI's taxonomy places the organism in Eukaryota, Metazoa, Chordata, Mammalia, Rodentia, Caviidae.